Molecule: ribosomal RNA, 694 nt
Filed under: uncultured bacterium
Lineage: Bacteria
Description: bacterial SSU rRNA
Rfam family: Bacterial small subunit ribosomal RNA
Source: RNAcentral
AACGCUAGCUACAGGCUUAACACAUGCAAGUCGAGGGGCAGCAUGGUCUUAGCUUGCUAAGGCCGAUGGCGACCGGCGCACGGGUGAGUAACACGUAUCCAACCUGCCGUCUACUCUUGGACAGCCUUCUGAAAGGAAGAUUAAUACAAGAUGGCAUCAUGAGUUCACAUGUUCACAUGAUUAAAGGUAUUCCGGUAGACGAUGGGGAUGCGUUCCAUUAGAUAGUAGGCGGGGUAACGGCCCACCUAGUCUUCGAUGGAUAGGGGUUCUGAGAGGAAGGUCCCCCACAUUGGAACUGAGACACGGUCCAAACUCCUACGGGAGGCAGCAGUGAGGAAUAUUGGUCAAUGGGCGCAGGCCUGAACCAGCCAAGUAGCGUGAAGGAUGACUGCCCUAUGGGUUGUAAACUUCUUUUAUAAAGGAAUAAAGUCGGGUAUGUAUACCCGUUUGCAUGUACUUUAUGAAUAAGGAUCGGCUAACUCCGUGCCAGCAGCCGCGGUAAUACGGAGGAUCCGAGCGUUAUCCGGAUUUAUUGGGUUUAAAGGGAGCGUAGAUGGAUGUUUAAGUCAGUUGUGAAAGUUUGCGGCUCAACCGUAAAAUUGCAGUUGAUACUGGAUAUCUUGAGUGCAGUUGAGGCAGGCGGAAUUCGUGGUGUAGCGGUGAAAUGCUUAGAUAUCACGAAGAACUCCGAUUG